Brachypodium distachyon (stiff brome) is the source of this 126-nucleotide non-coding RNA. The record is from Rfam. NCBI's taxonomy places the organism in Eukaryota, Viridiplantae, Streptophyta, Magnoliopsida, Poales, Poaceae.
CAGAUACUCCCUCCGUCCCAUAUUAAGUGACUUUCUGUGACAUGUAUCUAGACGUAUUUUAGUAUAUAGAUACGUCCAUAUUUAGACAAAUUUGAGUCACUUAAUAUGGGAAAGAGGGAGUAUUAA